GUGACGGGACUGGAAGGAUACGAGGGUUUCUAACCCCCGCAGGACCCGGGCCGCCCUGUUGAGGGAGACUGUCUGAGGAUGAAGUCUUGUCGACCUGGGAAGAGAUGAAUUCUUGGCAAUAUCUGAGCCCUGGAUGCAGCCCUCUGGGUCACCGGACUUCCUCUGGCUUUUUCCCUACAUGCUCCCCCUGUUUAAUUAUUUAGGAAUUUUGAGCUGUGUUUUUGCCAUUAGUGACCAGAAGAGCCUCAGAACGAGAUACCUAAUGUGUGUCCAAGAGGAGCUUAGGUAUUUAUGUCUUGGCAAGAAGGGCUUGGAGGACGGAUCAAGUCUGAAAUCUCAGCUGCCACUGCUAAGACGAUGACCUUCUGACUGUCUUUUAUUUCAGCGUGGAAACAUCUGGCGGUGGCUGGGACCUGUCUCAGCUCAUGGGGAGCCCCUGGAAGGGGGUGGCGUCUUUGGACAACUCAGCAUCUUCCCCCCGCCCCCCCACCCUGCAAAGAGAAAAUAUCCGCUAUUCUUUUUCCCGGAAAACAGAAACGGGCCAGAAGAGGAAAACCGGGUUGAGCUGAACACAAUCUGUUAUUUUGAGUCAGAGAAUCCUGGCUUCUUCCUGUGAUGGGGGGGGGGGGGGGUCUGAAGCUCCUGUCCAGGAGUGGCCAAGGAAGAAGUGGAAGAGGUGACUUUUGGGGGGACAGAAUCCAAGAGGGGGAAUUGGUGCAAAGGGCGCCCUAUUACCACCCAGUCCUGUCCCCUGACCUGCAAAACACUCUGCCUUCUCCUCCAGCUAGGACCUUCUCUGACGGAUACUGUGGUAUCCAUACUGUCGUUUCCAAAAGACGGUCACAGCCAUAUUUCAAAUCUUACGCAUUCUUCCAGAACCUCACUGCAGCCUAGUCAAGAGGCGGAGUCCAUUUUCCUUCCCUUAAGGACAUUGUGUGACGUUGUGAUAACCUCAUCAAAUGGGAUGAAGCAGAAAUGACGCCGCACGAUGUCCAAGACUAGGUCCACCUGACUCUCUCUUUCUCUUGGACACUCACCCUGAGAACCCAGGAGCCAUUUUGCAAGGAAGCUCAGGCUCCACGGAGAGGCCCCAUCUAGAUGUUCUGGUUGACAUUCCCAGCUGAAGUCCUAGCCAAGAGCCAGCAUGAACCGACGGACAGCCCUUGUCCUCACAGCCGUGAUGAAGGAGCCGCACCUCCCGCGGUCACCCCGGACCCCGCAGCUUCCUGCCGACACCAGUUUUUGAGGCUCUGAGGUUAUCAAACGCUACUGCAGUAAAGAUGCCUACCUCCACUGCCUCCUGCCCGGGUAACCUGAGGCAGGCUGACCCACCUCUCUGAGCUCCGUGUCCUGAUGGGUGAAUGAGGACCGAUGAGAAGGCCAGCUUCAUGGGGCUGUCGCCAACCUUGCAUGAGAUGAUCUACGCAGACUGCUUCGAACUGCGCUGGCACAGGGUCAUCAUGUCAGCGUUGGUGAACCCUGGUUCUCGACCUUUCCUUCCCUUCCUUCCUGGUUUCCCCCUCUCCCGCCUCCUCCUUCCCAGCCUCCACAAUCCUCUAGGGGACACCUGCCAUGAACCAGGCACUUUUCUAGGUGCUGCCCAUCUCCAGAACUGUCCUAAGAAUGGCAUGUCCCAAACGGGAAAGCACUUUGCUCUAUCGGGUCUGAUCUGUCGUGGAGGGGGAGAGGUGAUAAAUUCGCACAGGCUUGUGGUGACUUCUCUUUCAGCUUCCUCUCAUCUAGGGUCAUUAAUUUCGAGCCUUGACUGGGACUUCUAUCAUCUGUGGCUAUAGUGACAUUAAUUUGAUAUUCUCUAACCUCCGUCCCUUGCAUACGAGCGUCAUAAUGACUCUUAUUUGCCAUCGCCACGUACCACGUACAACUAGGCUUUAUUUGAUAUUGGGUUUUGAAUUACUCAUUUCCUUAAAUGUAGAUCGAACCUUAACUGAAGCAGUACUCUCCUGAGACCAGGAGUUAGAUGGGUACACAGUAAACACGUAGCUGGUAAGUGGAAUUAAAAAAUGUCCCCCUCCCUUGCCCCAAAUCACCCUCUUUGGUACCAGAUCCCGACAGUGGGCUGCUCUACCGGGCAUCGCCCUCUCACCGUCCAGCUGACUAGAAACCUCCGAUUCGUCGGUUCAUAUAUAUCAACUUCUAUCUGCCUUUCCCAAGCCGAGGGCUUGCUGUCACCCGUGGCUGUAAUGGCCUUAAUUUGACAGCACUAACUUCAUCUCAUCACCAUCAUUAUUCCUUCUUUCCACAGCCACG
Long non-coding RNA from Mustela erminea (ermine), 2268 nucleotides. RefSeq lists it as uncharacterized. The record is from RefSeq and is a predicted model, not a curated record. Lineage: Eukaryota; Metazoa; Chordata; Mammalia; Carnivora; Mustelidae. The transcript is spliced from 3 exons.